CGGCCGCUUGGGUCUGGGUGAGGCCGGCCGCCUGGCGAGCGGUCAACACCUCAUCCGGCGUCGGGAUAACCGCGCUCGGCGUGCGGUUGCUGC
Molecule: transfer RNA, 93 nt
Filed under: Paraburkholderia nemoris
Lineage: Bacteria; Pseudomonadati; Pseudomonadota; Betaproteobacteria; Burkholderiales; Burkholderiaceae
Description: Paraburkholderia sp. LMG 31836 tRNA-Ala
Source: RNAcentral